Molecule: ribosomal RNA, 860 nt
Filed under: Escherichia coli
Lineage: Bacteria; Pseudomonadati; Pseudomonadota; Gammaproteobacteria; Enterobacterales; Enterobacteriaceae
Description: partial 23S ribosomal RNA
Rfam family: Bacterial large subunit ribosomal RNA
Source: RNAcentral
GGUUAAGCGACUAAGCGUACACGGUGGAUGCCCUGGCAGUCAGAGGCGAUGAAGGACGUGCUAAUCUGCGAUAAGCGUCGGUGAGGUGAUAUGAACCGUUAUAACCGGCGAUUUCCGAAUGGGGAAACCCAGUGUGUUUCGACACACUAUCAUUAACUGAAUCCAUAGGUUAAUGAGGCGAACCGGGGGAACUGAAACAUCUAAGUACCCCGAGGAAAAGAAAUCAACCGAGAUUCCCCCAGUAGCGGCGAGCGAACGGGGAGGAGCCCAGAGCCUGAAUCAGUGUGUGUGUUAGUGGAAGCGUCUGGAAAGGCGCGCGAUACAGGGUGACAGCCCCGUACACAAAAAUGCACAUAUUGUGAGCUCGAUGAGUAGGGCGGGACACGUGGUAUCCUGUCUGAAUAUGGGGGGACCAUCCUCCAAGGCUAAAUACUCCUGACUGACCGAUAGUGAACCAGUACCGUGAGGGAAAGGCGAAAAGAACCCCGGCGAGGGGAGUGAAAAAGAACCUGAAACCGUGUACGUACAAGCAGUGGGAGCCUCUUAAUGGGGUGACUGCGUACCUUUUGUAUAAUGGGUCAGCGACUUAUAUUCUGUAGCAAGGUUAACCGAAUAGGGGAGCCGAAGGGAAACCGAGUCUUAACUGGGCGUUAAGUUGCAGGGUAUAGACCCGAAACCCGGUGAUCUAGCCAUGGGCAGGUUGAAGGUUGGGUAACACUAACUGGAGGACCGAACCGACUAAUGUUGAAAAAUUAGCGGAUGACUUGUGGCUGGGGGUGAAAGGCCAAUCAAACCGGGAGAUAGCUGGUUCUCCCCGAAAGCUAUUUAGGUAGCGCCUCGUGAAUUCAUCUCCGGGGGUA